UGGAGCCAUUGAAUUUGUUUGACCAGACGACCAUUAAUUGAUCUCUAAUUUCCCAUGUAACUGUCCGAAUGGCCAUCCUCCCCAGUUUCCAAACGAUCCCCAUUCUCUUCGGCUAUCUUCAGAACCUAGCGUCGCCUUAACAUUCUCCGGUGGUGACACCAUCUCCAAUCUGCCUCAAAGUUACACCACAUAACCCCUAGCCCUUCAUCUGUCCAUAACCCAAAAUCUUUUCCCUCGUAUCCUUAUACAUCCUUUCAAACUUGAAUCUAAUGUUCGAAGCACUAAAAACCCAAAACGCCUUACCUUCGAAUCUUUGGCAUGCAAAGCCUAACCUCCAAGUCUUAUGAGUUUUCAAGGGUGAUUUAACAUAAAAUAAUAAUUGGUUGUUUGUUCUUGACAAAGAACAAACGAUUAACAUUGAUUUUAUUUAAAUCAGGCGCCCAGUGUUGGUCUCAAGUUUAAGUCAGUAAGUUCUCUUUCAUUUUUUCUGUCAGUUUUGUUGUUUCACCAUCUAUUCCCAUUCUUUUUUUCACUUUUUCUUUAGAUCGUUUCUUCUGUUUGAACUUUAGCAAAGGUCCAAAUUCUGAACCAAGAUUUUUCCCUUUGGAUUGAUUCGUGUUCGUAUUUGUUUUGUCUGCUUUUCAGUUUUCUUUUCAAAAUUUAAUAGUUGUUCUCUGAUUUUUGUUUAGAUUAUUCAUUUGCCAUACCUAUUUGUUAUUCAUGACAUUUAAGUUUUUGAUUUUUGUCCUUCAUAUUCUAGUCGUAUAAUUAGCUUAAUUAGAUGUUGUUUUGAUUUGGUCAUCUAGCUUAAUUCUAGUUUAUUUUAAAAAUCACUCAAGCUUUUAGUUUUGAAAGCAUUCAAGUUGUUUCUUCUUCUAUUUUUCAUGAAGAACUAAAAUUAGUUUCUGACUUGGUUAGGGCUUUGGGGCCAUUUCUGACCCAUUUUUAAGGAAAGACCAUUCAUUUUGGUUUAAGUCUUGGGUCAGAAUUGAUCCAAAUGGUUUGCUGAGGUGAUUGGGAGGGGUUUUAAGGGUAGUCUAGGUAUUUUGAUUAAGGGAAUCUCUUGUAACUGAUUGAGAAAAUUUCCUGGAAGGUGAAAAAGGGAUUGACUAAGCAAACAAGUUAAAAUUUAGGCAUUAACUAGCAAAAAUAAAAAUUAAAAAAGGAGUAAUCGGAAAAAACUGAAGUUCAUUUCUGUUUCCCUACAGCUUCUCUAUAAAAGACUAUUUCUUCACUCUCAAGUCAGAGUUUAGAGACUAAAAAACACUUAAAAUUUAGAAAACGGUUGAGUUUUCAUAUACUGAAAUCCUCAGCAACUUCUGAUGAAAAAUUGGUUCAGCUUCCUGUUCGUUCUAGUUUUUGAAAUUUGCAAAGAACUUCUGGGUCAUUUUUCGAGUCUAAAAUUGGUUUUCAAGCUUGGUUGUUUGCUGAAUUGAAUAUGUUGUUGCUGUCUCUUCUUAAACUCCCAACUUAUUUUCCCUUUUGGUGUUGUAACCAGGUGUUCACUCAGUUCCUUGACAUGUGAAAUGGAAGAACAUGAAGCUAUUUGAUUAAGCUGAAAAUCUAUGACACAUCAGUUUAUUAAAUGCUAUUUUCUGCACUCCGGAAACUAGUUGAUUCUACUGUUAGUUUAGUUUCCUGUUAUGUAUACACUUGAUUAUUUUUGUUGCUAAUUCUCCUUGAGUUUUGAAAGCUUUAGGUAGAUACUCUAAUUUAGUUGAUUGGUUUAUAAAAGGAUUGGAAUGUUGUUCAUACAUGGGGACGGUUGGUUUUUCUUUUAUUUAAGUGUGAAUAAGUCGACAUAAGAUUUAGAAAACUCGCUCGAUUUGCUGAUUGAUACAUGGGAUUUGAUUGAGAAUUUCCAGUUGAAUCCAUAUUAACAAGCAUAUGUAUAUGUUUUGAAAUCCUGUCAAGUAUUCUGAUGAAAAAUUAAAGUGAAAGCUGGUUAUAUUUUGAUAGUAAGACUAAUUUUGUGAAUGGUUAUAAUGUUUAAAUACAAAAUGGUUCACAUGAUAGUCUCAUAAUGUUGAUUUCUUAUUAUAUGUGUU
This 2048-nucleotide long non-coding RNA is filed under the name Nicotiana benthamiana. Its description in RNAcentral is "long non-coding RNA (NBEN_LNC025494)". The record is from RNAcentral. Lineage: Eukaryota; Viridiplantae; Streptophyta; Magnoliopsida; Solanales; Solanaceae.